UACCUCCCCUCUUAGUGACUAUAAUUGAUGUUUGAAUCGCCUAAGUGAUAACGUCACCUUGGCCUGAGCCAACUAGGGAUACCCCCACUUAGUGCCCGCCCUCAAGGGCAAGCGCCGCCCCAUAUAUCCUCCACGUCCAAUGGUGGGGAAUCCAAGUUUAUCACCAUUAGAGCUAGGGUAAAUGCAACCCUACGCCUUAUCAGUGGCCUCUUCUCUCCCUCCUCGUCGUCGCUCGAAGGAAACUGCGCCCUGGGGCAUAUGGUCCCUAAAGGUUCUUCGGCCCGAGGUGAAGAUCCUGUUGGGGAAUGAGUCGUCGAGGAUUCAACCGAAGUCGCCCUCGGAACUGGAUGUGGCGCUAGCAUUUUCACAAGUCGUACAGUCGCGCCUGGUCUGCGAAAGGCCAGUUGAGAGCCCUCACGCGGCGUUGCCCUCCCUGAUCAAAGAAAAAACCAAGUUGAGAAGAGGCGAAGAAGAACAAAAUAAAGAUAACAGAAAGCUAAAACGCUCACCAUAGGUAGAUGUGCGACCAUGCCUUUCCCAAAAAUAUAGCCACAUGCGAAUCCCGGCUGUGUGAGGGAGCAUGACCUCAACCCAUUUCCGGAUACCAGGCAGUGGGACCAUCGGCGGUCGUUCAGCUACAUAUAAGAGAUAAAACACUUAUCAGAACAGGAUAAAAAAAGAGGAAGAGGAGUGACGGAAUGGAGAACCUGACGAAUAAAAUGAGUUACGUGCAUGGUUCCACGACUCUGGAACCCAGUGGCACAUGCCACCAGGUGUUCAGUUCUGAUGUAAAAGAAGUGCUCACAAGUGUGCAGCUUGACCGCAUCAUCUAACUCAGCAGUCAAGCCCCUCGACCAACGAGGAAUGGCCUGAAUAAUGGUACCACGGACCCUCUGGGGAGCGUGGAGGGUCAGCACGUUCUGCAAUGUAAUCUCCCUUCAGGCCAGCUCUGCAUAUUUAAGGAGCAAAGUAAAGAGCUUAUAAAGGGAGGGGAAGAGCUGGCCAGGACACACUCCAUAAUGAUGGCAAAAAUCCACUUCCAGCAUCAGAAAGGGGAUCCUAAAUCCCAAUCUAAUGGGAUAAGCGUAGAAAACGCAAUAUCCCCUAUGGUCAAUGUGGACCCUCUCCUCACGUCUAGCAAGGGAGAUAUCACCAUAACGGGGAAUACCCCACAGCUCCCGUAGUUGACCAAUCCCCACUUCUCCAAUUAGUGGGAAUUCGUUCACCUGAUCUUCACCUUCAUCAGCGGUGAAGUCAACCGCCAGACCUUUGGGUAGGGACAGGAUAUCAGCAACCAACGGAACCCCAUUGGCCCCUACCGGUUCUACACCUCUUAAGACCAAUGAAGGCUCUCCGCCACGAUGGGGUUCACCGAAAAUCUCGCCUGAGCAGCGUUUAUGGAGGAAAUGCUUGCCAUUUUUUGAUAAAAGAGAUCGAAAAGAAGUAAAAAUAAACAAAGGAAGACGAAGAUUACAACAACAAAAGAGUAAGAAUAACACUGAACUAAGUAAGCGAGGAAAGUUCUUCAGAUAUUUCUCUUAAGCAAAUUACGAAAAGUGAGAAACGAAUGCCUCAAGUCCUUAUUUAUAAGCGACACAAGUGGCUCUCAUGAAUUCCAAAGGUCAUCAUUAAUUGCUUGACCAACCGCAAAAUGGUCCGACAAUACAGAAACGUGCGUUAUAAUAACCGAACUCCAUGAAGCGAUUUUUCAGUCGCCAACUGGCGCUUCGCCUUCGAAACAACUACAAUGAUCUGAGAACGCUCCAGAUAACAUCCUGCGUACCUCCAAAACUUUGGACGUCCCCAAAACAUAUGAUAUGCUUACACUCCCCCUGCCCACUAUAUUUAAAUGACAUCGACACCAUACAGAGAUAAAGGUCGUCGACAAAAUAAUCACGUCUAUCUCCAAAGAACAAAAGGCUACGGCCACCCCCACAGUAUAUAUAGUUACGACCACCCCCUCAUAUGCAUAAGUAGCUACAGUCAUUCCUACCUAUACGCGGGUACGACCCUCUCCCAAUAAUGAGCAUUUAAGAUCUUCGACAAACGUGCAACCAAGGUCACCAACUCGAUUCCAUCACGGCUAAGGUCGUUCAGCACUAUAAGGCUAUGGCCAUCUCCAGUAUAUAAACGGCUAAGGGCGCCCACACAAUUAAGGCCACGGCCAUCUCCAAUGAAUAGAUGGCCACGGCCAUCCUCAACAUGUAUGUAAAUAACUCGACCACGGUCAAAGUCACCUGCACGGUCAACGCCAUCAAUGCAAGAUGGCUAAGGCCAUUGAUUUUAAUUGCAUUGUGCCCCACAUAAAAACGACUAUGGUUAUUAUUGACCUUGACCGAAACCGCAUCCGGAGAGGUCCACUCAUCGAGCGGGGUCAAGGCACGACCUCGAUAAGUGGAGAGACUAACUGUAUGGGUCAGAAUAUGACCCCGAGAUAAUUAACGAGAUUAACUAUGUCCUAAGCUAAUUCGUAAAUUAAUAAAUGAUAUGGCCAUUUAUUAAUCGCGAUAUCUGAUCAUCGGCUGAAUCAAUUAUUAGGGCUAUGGCCUAUCCUCCAUCAUCGAGACGGAGCCUCAGAAUAAUCACGGCCACAAUUGCCAGCUCACCCAUUUCGCAUCUAUAAAUACUAAGAGAAC
RNAcentral lists this long non-coding RNA (2636 nucleotides) under Nicotiana benthamiana. Its description in RNAcentral is "long non-coding RNA (NBEN_LNC039001)". The record is from RNAcentral. Lineage: Eukaryota; Viridiplantae; Streptophyta; Magnoliopsida; Solanales; Solanaceae.